This 409-nucleotide ribosomal RNA is filed under the name uncultured prokaryote. RNAcentral's name for it is "bacterial SSU rRNA". It matches the Rfam family "Bacterial small subunit ribosomal RNA", at positions 355 to 776 of the family's 1533-position model. The record is from RNAcentral. RNAcentral also lists the same sequence under 1 other name.
UGGGGAAUAUUGCACAAUGGGCGCAAGCCUGAUGCAGCAACGCCGCGUGAGGGAUGACGGCCUUCGGGUUGUAAACCUCUUUUAGCAGGGAAGAAGCGAAAGUGACGGUACCUGCAGAAAAAGCGCCGGCUAACUACGUGCCAGCAGCCGCGGUAAUACGUAGGGCGCAAGCGUUAUCCGGAAUUAUUGGGCGUAAGGAGCUCGUAGGCGGUUUGUCGCGUCUGAUGUGAAAACCCGAGGCUCAACCUCGGGCCUGCAGUGGGUACGGGCAGACUAGAGUGCGGUAGGGGAGACUGGAAUUCCUGGUGUAGAGGUGGCAUGCGCAGAUAUCAGGAGGAACACCGAUGGCGAAGGCAGGUAUCUGGGCCGCAACUGACGCUGAGGAGCGAAAGCAUGGGGAGCGAACAGG